RNAcentral lists this ribosomal RNA (399 nucleotides) under uncultured bacterium. Its description in RNAcentral is "partial 16S ribosomal RNA". It matches the Rfam family "Bacterial small subunit ribosomal RNA", at positions 338 to 754 of the family's 1533-position model. The record is from RNAcentral.
CCUACGGGAGGCAGCAGUGGGGAAUAUUGCACAAUGGGGGAAACCCUGAUGCAGCGACGCCGCGUGAAGGAAGAAGGAUUUCGGUAUGUAAACUUCUAUCAGCAGGGAAGAAAAUGACGGUACCUGACUAAGAAGCCGCGGCGAACGACGUGCCAGCAGCCGCGGUAAUACGGAGGGGGCAAGCGUUAUCCGGAUUUACUGGGGGUAAAGGGAGCGUAGGCGGUUCAGCAAGUCAGAAGUGAAAGCCCGGGGCUCAACUCCGGGACUGCUUGUGAAACUGUUGAACUAGAUUGCAGGAGAGGUCAGUGGACUUCCUAGUGUAGCGGUGACAUUCGUAGAUAUUAGGCGGCACCCCAGUGGCGAAGGCGGCUUACUGGACUGUACCUGCCGCUGCUGCUC